AUAUUGGUUUUUCCUAGGAACCCUUGAUUGUGAGACAAUGUGACCAUCGGUUUCUAAGGUUUUUGUAUUGAUUCUUGAAGGAGUCAUCGGAACUGGCGGCACUUGAAGCAUCCAAAGGAUUCGAGAGACGAUAAUGUUCCCUGUUUCAAAUCUUUUUGAGGUGCUCAGUUUUUCUGUCGACAAGGUGGUUGUGGCGUUUGAUUUAUAUGGUUAGGGUUUUCCAGAAUUGGGCUGACGGGAGAUCCGGGCACUCCAAAUAAGUGAGACAGGCAAGAGUGAGCUACUUCCGUACCAGCUUGAAGGAUUGAAUUUCUUACGUUUCUCAUGGUCUAAAGUCUAAACAAACACAUGUGAUACUUGCAGACGAAAUGGGUCUUGGGAAACGAUACAAAGUAUUGCUUUUUUGGCAUCGUUGUCUAAAGAGAAUGUCUCCCCUCAUUUAGUAGCACCGCUUUCUACAUUAAGGAAUUGGGAACAUUAAUUUGCUAUAUGGGCUGCUAAUAUGAAUGUUUCGCAUCUUCUCCACACGAAGAAGAAACAACCUUCACUUUCAGACGUUAUUGCGGUAAUUAUAUUCCAGUUUUCUCUUCUUACUUCAUAUUGCAGUUUUAUUCGCUGUUAAAAAGUUGUGUUUUUCAAGCAAACAACAAAGAAAUAGGAUGUUUUGUUUACGGUGCUACAAUUUUGAAGAAUAUAACAACAGCUAUUUGAAGGUGAUGUGUGUUUUAUAUCCGUAUUUUUUAUUUUUAUUUUUUUGCCUAUGAAUAAAAAAUAAUCUGAUGUAUCAAGGAUUUGUGAUUUUUAAUGUGGAUUUUUUAUUAUAGUAGAUAUUGCAGUACUGACCAAAAGUACCGGUACCAAAAAUGCCAAAAAGUGGGUACGAAUCGGUACCGAAAAUAAUUUGGUACAGUACUGGUCUCAAGUACCAAAUGCCCAUCCUUACCUUCUAUAUAUUAGUAGGUUAUUUUUUUUGUAUUUUAAACGGGUCAAACAUAUUAUGUUUUAAAUGAUUUAACUAAAGAGAAUUGCUUUGAACAAAUCUAACUGGCUAGAUGAGUCAAGCUUGAUCAAACGGUUUGAAACUCAGCGGAAGUGUAUGUAAAUACACCAAAACCUAAAACGAAUCCUCAUUAAUGUUUAGAAUACAUUGUAAUAAUACAGAUUUUGUAUAACCAAAAAUGAUAAAUGAUGUGUUUGUGGUCCGACUACCCAACCCAUUUCAGCUCACACUAAUGAUUACCUGUGUUGACGCAUUGCCACCUCCACUAUAAAGUUUACAUAAUUUAUGUAUGAAUAGAGGCGUUCACACCUUAUUUUCAAAUUGUGAAACCAUCCAAGCCGUUUAUCAUGUCUAGCAACUGCAACAUCGUGUCCAGUAGCAUAUGCAACAAUGGCACAACAACGAGCAAAGGUAGUCAUCCACUUUUUACAAGGAAUGUGGUUCUAUAUUACGCACCGGCUAGCUGAACAGGUCGAUAGGGUGCGCACCAGCUAGCUGGGGAGUUUGAUUGGCUUUUACCCUAUGUUCAGGAACCGCUUGAUCAUAUCCUGUUCAAGAUGGGUCUUUCUAAAAUCAAGAUUCAAGAGCUGAUCUCCAACUAAGAGAAUCAUCAAUGCAUUAAAAGAUUCGAGGGUCUUGCGUUUUCUAGAGCAUGGCGACUCCCAAUUGAAACAUCGGAUAUCCAUUCUCAACUGAAACAGGUGUGGAGAUUACUUCUAGCUGCUAUGAAGUUUUCAUUUGCUAAUGGCAUUGAAUUGCACGUGUUUUGUGAGCUGGAUAAGUAUUGUCAUAUGUGGAACUUGCAUUUAAUUAUAUUGUGCUUCCUUUGUACACCUACUACAUGCUUGAAGCAUUAUAAAAAUUACCAACUUUUGCAA
This is a long non-coding RNA of Helianthus annuus (common sunflower), 1878 nucleotides long. RefSeq lists it as uncharacterized. The transcript is spliced from 10 exons. NCBI's taxonomy places the organism in Eukaryota, Viridiplantae, Streptophyta, Magnoliopsida, Asterales, Asteraceae. The record is from RefSeq and is a predicted model, not a curated record.